Molecule: long non-coding RNA, 278 nt
Filed under: Struthio camelus australis
Lineage: Eukaryota; Metazoa; Chordata; Aves; Struthioniformes; Struthionidae
Description: lncRNA (ENSSCUG00000012149.1)
Source: RNAcentral
ACAGAAAGUCCUUAGCAGCUGCGCGUCUUAUUCAUUCACGAUCAUCUGGGAGUAGCAUCAGGUUCCAGAGAAGAAAAGUUACCGGGAUGAAGACGUAGAACUCACGCGUGAUGGCCUUGCUCGCACCGGCAAGCAGUAAUUCAUGGGAGGAGUGCUGUUGGCAUCAGCAACAGGAAGGGCUACCAGCCAGAGGGGAGGCUGCACAGACAGGCUCCUCGUUUUUAACCUAGAUCUCAUGAUUAUGAAGAAUGCUUUAGGAUCCAAACUGGAAACCACAA